RNAcentral lists this ribosomal RNA (112 nucleotides) under Sphenodon punctatus (tuatara). Lineage: Eukaryota; Metazoa; Chordata; Lepidosauria; Sphenodontia; Sphenodontidae. The record is from RNAcentral.
CCCGGAGGCCACCCAGUGCACCCAAUCCCAUUCAAUCCUAGAAACUAAGCAGUCCCAGCCCCGGCUAGUACCUGAAUGGGAGACCACCUGGGAAUCCCAGGUGCUGUAGGUU